Molecule: non-coding RNA, 1217 nt
Organism: Schizosaccharomyces pombe (fission yeast)
Lineage: Eukaryota; Fungi; Ascomycota; Schizosaccharomycetes; Schizosaccharomycetales; Schizosaccharomycetaceae
Source: the annotation of a GenBank genome assembly
AAAAUGAUAAUAACAAUAAAUAAGUUGAAGAGAAAUUCUUCCCUAAACAACGAAAGACAAAGAAAAGAAGUCUAUGAUAGUGGUAUGAAGCGUAUUAACUUGCAAACUUGGUACAAAUAACUCGUUUCCUAAGCAAGAUAUGAUUUUCCACGUGUUUAAUAAAUAAGAAAAAAACUGAUGCGAAGAGUCAAGGGUGAAAUUUGAAGCAAAGGAAAGGAGGAAAUCGGAUAAAUAAAAUGUAAAAAUAUGGCCUUUCUGAAUUCGUCUAUAGAAAGGUAAAAAGUACGAAGAACGUUCUAAAUCCAAGUAAAUAAAGAGGAAAAAAAAAGUUUUUGUAAUGGGAGUAAAGAAUUAAAUGAUCAAACGUUAGGAAAAAAAACCAAAUGCGAAAUAAUUGGUUUAUUUUUUUUUUUUGUUGGUAAAAUUAAAAACACACAGAGAAGAAGAAAAGGAAACCCCACCUAACUACUAAAUGGAAAAAAGACGGAAAGUGUUUCGAUAGAAGGAUGAAAACAAACCGAAACGAAAGGGGAUUUUAAAUAUUUGCUACGCGAUCAAUCACUUUCGGCACGAAAGCAAAACGAUUCGAAAAAAUAUUAAGUUUGUAUAUAUACCGAAUACAAAAAAAAAUGGUAAGGAUAAUUUACAACCUGGUUUUUGGAGUGACGGUUUAAGAAAAAGAAAGGGAAACAAAAAUUUUAAAAAGUACACUAAAAGGGACGAAGGGAAAAAAAAAACAAUAAACAAAAACAAGCUCAAAUAAAAUAAAACAGGAUGGCAAGAGAAAGAAAAUGCUCUGUCCUCUAUUGCGGCUGAUAUAAAUUAAAGAAUAACGAGACGCGUUUUGUGAAAGCACAAUUUAGCUAGAGAAAACCAAUCUAAAGUACUUUGUACUUAGUUUUAUGCGCAGUAAACAACAAUAUGUCUGCUACAGCGAAGAAGGAGGGCGAGAAAACAAGACACAGGUAAUUUAAGUAUCUUUUACCUAAGGGGGACGGCAUCAGCAAUCAAUUGGUAUGACGCAGAGAUAUGAUCUACAAGAAAGCAAUGUACUCGGUCACAAUGAAGCCGAAGCGACAAGUAUAGAAAAUUUUUUGAAACACGCGGCUUUAUUCAUUAAACUCCGAAGCAAUUGACAAAAUGAAGAAAUUGAAGUCAAACAGGUAAACAUGCGUUGGGCGACACAAAAAUUUGCCAAGGUUCCGUGGUCUCCGUUA